Molecule: ribosomal RNA, 1029 nt
Filed under: Bifidobacterium sp. 195
Lineage: Bacteria; Bacillati; Actinomycetota; Actinomycetes; Bifidobacteriales; Bifidobacteriaceae
Description: bacterial SSU rRNA
Rfam family: Bacterial small subunit ribosomal RNA
Source: RNAcentral
AUCCGAGGCGCUUGCGUCUCGGUGAGAGUGGCGAACGGCCGUUUAAUGCGUGACUAACCUGCCUCAUACACCGGAAUAGCUCCUGUAAACGGGUGGUAAUGCCGGAUGCUCCAACAUUCCUCAUGGUUUGUUGGGAAAGCGUUAGCGGUAUGGGAUGGGGUCGCGUCCUAUCAGCUUGUUGGUGGGGUGAAGGCCCACCAAGGCUUCGACGGGUAGCCGGCCUGAGAGGGCGACCGGCCACAUUGGGACUGAGAUACGGCCCAGACUCCUACGGGAGGCAGCAGUGGGGAAUAUUGCACAAUGGGCGAAAGCCUGAUGCAGCGACGCCGCGUGCGGGAUGAAGGCCUUCGGGUUGUAAACCGCUUUUGAUUGGGAGCAAGCGAGAGUGAGUGUACCUUUCGAAUAAGCACCGGCUAACUACGUGCCAGCAGCCGCGGUAAUACGUAGGGUGCAAGCGUUAUCCGGAAUUAUUGGGCGUAAAGAGCUCGUAGGCGGCUUGUCGCGUCUGGUGUGAAAGUCCAUCGCUUAACGGUGGAUCUGCGCCGGGUACGGGCAGGCUAGAGUGCGGUAGGGGAGAUUGGAAUUCCCGGUGUAACGGUGGAAUGUGUAGAUAUCGGGAAGAACACCAAUGGCGAAGGCAGAUCUCUGGGCCGUUACUGACGCUGAGGAGCGAAAGCAUGGGGAGCGAACAGGAUUAGAUACCCUGGUAGUCCAUGCCGUAAACGGUGGAUGCUGGAUGUGGGGCCCAUUCCACGGGUUCCGCGUCGGAGCUAACGCGUUAAGCAUCCCGCCUGGGGAGUACGGCCGCAAGGCUAAAACUCAAAGAAAUUGACGGGGGCCCGCACAAGCGGCGGAGCAUGCGGAUUAAUUCGAUGCAACGCGAAGAACCUUACCUGGGCUUGACAUGUUCCUGACGGUCGCGGAGACGCGGCUUCCCUUCGGGGCAGGUUCACAGGUGGUGCAUGGUCGUCGUCAGCUCGUGUCGUGAGAUGUUGGGUUAAGUCCCGCAACGAGCGCAACCCUUGCCUU